Molecule: ribosomal RNA, 500 nt
Filed under: uncultured bacterium
Lineage: Bacteria
Description: partial 16S ribosomal RNA
Rfam family: Bacterial small subunit ribosomal RNA
Source: RNAcentral
GAUGAACGCUAGCGGCAGGCUUAAUACAUGCCAGUCGUGGGGCAGCAUGAGUAGCAAUACUUGAUGGCGACCGGCAAACGGGUGCGGAACACGUACACAACCUUCCGAUAAGUGGGGAAUAGCCCAGAGAAAUUUGGAUUAAUACCCCGUAACAUAUAGAGUAGGCAUCUUCUUUAUAUUAUAGCUUCGGCGCUUAUUGAUGGGUGUGCGUCUGAUUAGGUAGUUGGCGGGGUAACGGCCCACCAAGCCUACGAUCAGUAGCUGAUGUGACGGCAGCGUCAGCGACACGGGGACUGGUACAGGGGCCCGGCGCCUACGGGAGGCAGCAGCAAGGAAUAUUGGACGAUGGCCGAAAGUCUGAUCCAGCCAUGCCGCCUGAAGGAUUAAGGUCCGGUGGAGUGUAAACAGCGUUUAGUUGGGACGAAAAAAGGGAAUUCUUUCCCACUUGACGGUACCAAGUGAAUAAGCACCGGCUAACUCCGUGCCAGCCGCCGCCGUAA